GUAAACUGAAGAGUUUGAUCAUGGCUCAGAUUGAACGCUGGCGGCAGGCCUAACACAUGCAAGUCGAGCGGUAACAGGUCCAGCUUGCUGGAUGCUGACGAGCGGCGGACGGGUGAGUAACGCAUAGGAAUCUACCCGGUAGUGGGGGAUAACCUGGGGAAACCCAGGCUAAUACCGCAUACGUCCUACGGG
Molecule: ribosomal RNA, 192 nt
Filed under: Vreelandella subterranea
Lineage: Bacteria; Pseudomonadati; Pseudomonadota; Gammaproteobacteria; Oceanospirillales; Halomonadaceae
Description: Halomonas subterranea 16S rRNA. Bacterial SSU
Rfam family: Bacterial small subunit ribosomal RNA
Source: RNAcentral